Molecule: long non-coding RNA, 266 nt
Filed under: Elaeis guineensis (African oil palm)
Lineage: Eukaryota; Viridiplantae; Streptophyta; Magnoliopsida; Arecales; Arecaceae
Description: long non-coding RNA (EGUI_LNC082341)
Source: RNAcentral
GGACUCAGCAUUCUGAAGUUUAGAGAGAGUGGGUGCAUGUGGGCCACCCCCUCAACUAUCUGUCAACAGAAGCUCUCUAGUUUUCCAGCUACUUCUUUUAAAAAAAAAAACUUGUAUCACUGCCUUUUUACUCUUUCUGAUGACAACGACACGCAGAAAAUUAUCACCAUAUAUUACACGAUAUAACAGGAAGAUGAAAGUUGUCUGGUCGAAAGAUCAAUCUUCAACUAAAAUUCUCAGUGUGGUUAUAUUUUGAAGGUCAUUUG